Molecule: long non-coding RNA, 1760 nt
Organism: Homo sapiens (human)
Lineage: Eukaryota; Metazoa; Chordata; Mammalia; Primates; Hominidae
Gene: MEG3
Product: maternally expressed 3
Source: Ensembl
GCAGACGGCGGAGAGCAGAGAGGGAGCGCGCCUUGGCUCGCUGGCCUUGGCGGCGGCUCCUCAGGAGAGCUGGGGCGCCCACGAGAGGAUCCCUCACCCGGGUCUCUCCUCAGGGAUGACAUCAUCCGUCCACCUCCUUGUCUUCAAGGACCACCUCCUCUCCAUGCUGAGCUGCUGCCAAGGGGCCUGCUGCCCAUCUACACCUCACGAGGGCACUAGGAGCACGGUUUCCUGGAUCCCACCAACAUACAAAGCAGCCACUCACUGACCCCCAGGACCAGGAUGGCAAAGGAUGAAGAGGACCGGAACUGACCAGCCAGCUGUCCCUCUUACCUAAAGACUUAAACCAAUGCCCUAGUGAGGGGGCAUUGGGCAUUAAGCCCUGACCUUUGCUAUGCUCAUACUUUGACUCUAUGAGUACUUUCCUAUAAGUCUUUGCUUGUGUUCACCUGCUAGCAAACUGGAGUGUUUCCCUCCCCAAGGGGGUGUCAGUCUUUGUCGACUGACUCUGUCAUCACCCUUAUGAUGUCCUGAAUGGAAGGAUCCCUUUGGGAAAUUCUCAGGAGGGGGACCUGGGCCAAGGGCUUGGCCAGCAUCCUGCUGGCAACUCCAAGGCCCUGGGUGGGCUUCUGGAAUGAGCAUGCUACUGAAUCACCAAAGGCACGCCCGACCUCUCUGAAGAUCUUCCUAUCCUUUUCUGGGGGAAUGGGGUCGAUGAGAGCAACCUCCUAGGGUUGUUGUGAGAAUUAAAUGAGAUAAAAGAGGCCUCAGGCAGGAUCUGGCAUAGAGGAGGUGAUCAGCAAAUGUUUGUUGAAAAGGUUUGACAGGUCAGUCCCUUCCCACCCCUCUUGCUUGUCUUACUUGUCUUAUUUAUUCUCCAACAGCACUCCAGGCAGCCCUUGUCCACGGGCUCUCCUUGCAUCAGCCAAGCUUCUUGAAAGGCCUGUCUACACUUGCUGUCUUCCUUCCUCACCUCCAAUUUCCUCUUCAACCCACUGCUUCCUGACUCGCUCUACUCCGUGGAAGCACGCUCACAAAGGUUCCCAGUGCCCCCGACAAGCCCCUGCUGGUGUCUCCAUCUCCUGCCAAGCAUCCUCCAGUGCCUCCUCCUGUGGGCCUGGCCUCAGGGCUAUGGACAGACUCCUGUCCCAUCCCAGAGACCCCUCGUGAUCGUGCCCUGUAGUCACCCCACUCCACCGAAAAGUAAACUGCAGGCACGUGGGCCGUGGCCCGGCUGGGUCGGCUGAAGAACUGCGGAUGGAAGCUGCGGAAGAGGCCCUGAUGGGGCCCACCAUCCCGGACCCAAGUCUUCUUCCUGGCGGGCCUCUCGUCUCCUUCCUGGUUUGGGCGGAAGCCAUCACCUGGAUGCCUACGUGGGAAGGGACCUCGAAUGUGGGACCCCAGCCCCUCUCCAGCUCGAAAUCCCUCCACAGCCACGGGGACACCCUGCACCUAUUCCCACGGGACAGGCUGGACCCAGAGACUCUGGACCCGGGGCCUCCCCUUGAGUAGAGACCCGCCCUCUGACUGAUGGACGCCGCUGACCUGGGGUCAGACCCGUGGGCUGGACCCCUGCCCACCCCGCAGGAACCCUGAGGCCUAGGGGAGCUGUUGAGCCUUCAGUGUCUGCAUGUGGGAAGUGGGCUCCUUCACCUACCUCACAGGGCUGUUGUGAGGGGCGCUGUGAUGCGGUUCCAAAGCACAGGGCUUGGCGCACCCCACUGUGCUCUCAAUAAAUGUGUUUCCUGUCUUAACAAAAA